Molecule: ribosomal RNA, 442 nt
Filed under: uncultured bacterium
Lineage: Bacteria
Description: partial 16S ribosomal RNA
Rfam family: Bacterial small subunit ribosomal RNA
Source: RNAcentral
CCUACGGGUGGCAGCAGUAGGGAAUCUUUCACAAUGGGCGAAAGCCUGAUGGAGCAACGCCGCGUGCAGGAUGAAGGCCUUCGGGUUGUAAACUGCUUUUAUAAGCGAGAAAUAUGAUGGUAACUUAUGAAUAAGGAUCGGCUAACUACGUGCCAGCAGCCGCGGUCAUACGUAGGAUCCGAGCAUUAUCCGGAGUGACUGGGUGUAAAGAGUUGCGUAGGUGGCAUAAUAAGUAGCUAGUGAAAUCUGGUGGCUCAACCAUUCAGACUAUUAGCUAAACUGUUAAGCUCGAGACCGUUAGAGGUAACUGGAAUUUCUGGUGUAGGAGUGAAAUGCGUAGAUAUUAGAAAGAACACCGAUAGCGUAGGCAGGUUACUGGGACGGUUCUGACACUAAGGCACGAAAGCGUAGGGAGCAAACGGGAUUAGAUACCCGUGUAGUC